GACGAACGCUGGCGGCGUGCUUAACACAUGCAAGUCGAGCGGUAAGGCCCUUUCGGGGGUACACGAGCGGCGAACGGGUGAGUAACACGUGGGUGACCUGCCCUCAGCUCUGGGAUAAGCCCGGGAAACUGGGUCUAAUACCGGAUAUGACUUCAUGACGCAUGUUGUGGAGUGGAAAGCCUUGUGCGGCUGAGGAUGGGCCCGCGGCCUAUCAGCUUGUUGGUGGGGUGANGGCCUACCAAGGCGACGACGGGUAGCCGGCCUGAGAGGGCGACCGGCCACACUGGGACUGAGAUACGGCCCAGACUCCUACGGGAGGCAGCAGUGGGGAAUCUUGCGCAAUGGGCGAAAGCCUGACGCAGCGACGCCGCGUGA
This 375-nucleotide ribosomal RNA is filed under the name uncultured bacterium. RNAcentral's name for it is "bacterial SSU rRNA". It matches the Rfam family "Bacterial small subunit ribosomal RNA", at positions 28 to 404 of the family's 1533-position model. The record is from RNAcentral.